Molecule: long non-coding RNA, 242 nt
Filed under: Phasianus colchicus (ring-necked pheasant)
Lineage: Eukaryota; Metazoa; Chordata; Aves; Galliformes; Phasianidae
Description: lncRNA (ENSPCLG00000016432.1)
Source: RNAcentral
UCAUAGUCAAAAUUUCCAUUACCUGAAGUCUGACAACUAAUGGCUUGAUGUGAUAAUACUGGCUGCUUUCCAGUACUUCGUUGAUUCUCCAUGUUCUCUUACACUUGAGUGCUGAAGACACCCAGGAGCUGGCUUACACUGUGCCAGUACUACUAGUCUGCAUGCUGGGGGCAAACAGAAGGCAGGAGGAUACUACACACUGUACUAUGAAUAAGUUUGUAAACAAAGACCUUCACCAGUGA